This is a long non-coding RNA of Gymnodraco acuticeps, 1414 nucleotides long. RefSeq lists it as uncharacterized. The record is from RefSeq and is a predicted model, not a curated record. Lineage: Eukaryota; Metazoa; Chordata; Actinopteri; Perciformes; Bathydraconidae. The transcript has 2 exons.
CAAUAAAGUACUAAUAUACUAUAUGUAAUUGUUAACUAUAUAAUUAUAUUAAUGUCAGAUUUAGUCUGUUUCUCUGACCUUCAGUCCUGCAUGACCAGGAGGGCCUGGUGAACCUGGCCGACCGAAAUCACCAACAGUUGUAACACCAGCGAUACCUGGCUGCCCCAUGUCACCUGCACAAAAAACACACACACACACACACACGAUUGCCAAGUUAACUAUACUUUUAGCUGCUCCCCAUUUGCUUAAGAAUGUGUUAACUUCCAGAAAUUGAUUAUGUUAUCUAUGCGGCUUUUCUGCGUGUGCUCAACAGCACAUAGAUUACCUUUCUGUCCUCGGAUCCCUGGCCUUCCAGGAAACGACACCUCACCGUUCUCUCCUUUCUGUCCUUGAAAACCUGUUAGUCCUGGGCUACCUGGCGCUCCGUGGUUACCUGGAUGUUUGUUAGAUUCCGGGUGAACCAGGCAAACCUUUAAGUCCAGGAGGUCCUAUGGUGUGGAUAUGUGUGGAUUCGCCUUUCUGGCCUACCAAUGAAGAAAUAAGUAAAGAAAGGACACCCAAUGGCUUUCAGUCUUUCUGUCUAUCUACUUGUGUUCAUGUAUAAAUGUCUGAUAUAUUGUUUAUAGGUGUCUCUUUACCUGGAGAUCCAGCGUGUCCUGGCAGGCCAGUUACACCAGCAUCUCCCGGACCUCCUGGAGGUCCAGGAGGCCCGUAUCCCACUGACCCAGCAUAGCCAACCGGUCCUGGUAUACCUAAAGAACCUGGUGGACCCUGGUAACCACGUUCUCCCUCUGCACCAUGGAAGGGAUACUGGAGAGAAGACGGAGAACUUAUUACAACAAUUACUUAAACCAUAAAUUAUAUUGCAUGGGCCUUUGCUAUGAAUUCAGAAGGUUGAAACAUUAACAUUAACAUGACAAAAUGGCAAAACAAAUGGCAUGUUAAAUUGAAACCUGACAAAACCUUCUCACCGAAUCCCCUGGGGGACCUUGCUCGCCUUUUCGUCCUGGUUGUCCAGGAAACCCAGGGAGUGCACCUGCACCAGGUCUGCCAGGGUGUCCCAGGUCUCCUUUCUCUCCCUUUAUCCCAGGAGUGUUGUAGGAAUAUGAGUCUCCUUUUUGUCCUUGAGGGCCUGGAAAUCCCAUUCGACCUAUAGGACCCUUCAGAGGAGAAUUAUUGUUCAAAAAUGUUUGUAAAAAAUAAGGAUUUGUUUUAAGACAUGCAUUCUUACUUGUACUCCUAAGCCAUCAGGCCCUGGGAAACCUGGAUCACCUUUAGCACCUGGUCCUUGGUUAUAUCCUGAGCCACAGACGUAUAAAGAAUGUCUAUUUCAGUUUCAAACAUUCAUACUCUGUUCAUCUUAUCUACACUGUAGUAUGUCCAAAACUUUUACUAAAAAAUGCACUCCAAUGUU